Molecule: long non-coding RNA, 1290 nt
Organism: Pocillopora damicornis (cauliflower coral)
Lineage: Eukaryota; Metazoa; Cnidaria; Anthozoa; Scleractinia; Pocilloporidae
Source: RefSeq, a predicted model, not a curated record
UGGAUUCUUGAUUAGCGACUUAAGAGAGCACAGUGGACGACAUCUUUCAAUCAUAACUACCGCUGGAAACACUAUAGGAAUCAAACGAGGAAAGCGAGGAGACGUUCAUAGAAGAUACACGAUUGAAAACGAUGGCUUCCAACUCGCUGUCACUAGAACGUAUUUGCCGAAUUCCUUGGGACUCAAGAUAUGUCAAAAACUUUUAGCACUUUGUGAAGUCUCUCCAACAGAACCAACAGAACAGCUAUGAACGGUCAACAAAGUUUCGGUUUUUAUGUAGGGACGUAAAAGUUAGGAUCACUUUGUACAGCAAACUACUGCUGCUCAGAAGCUUUCAUUUGAAUGUUCACACUCCAAAGUUUCAUUGACAAGCUCUUAAUUAGAGCCACCUUGUGCAGCAUAAGAGAAAGUACUACAUGAGAGUAUUGAUCAGUAGUUUUCAUUUGAAUAGUCACACAACAGGAUUUUAUCUUCAGAACUCAAAGGUAUAACCACUUUGAAAAAUAAGAUGAAGAGGAAACCACAUGAAAGUAUUUCUCUGUAGCUCUCAUUUUGGCUGACACUUACUAGAGUUUUUGAUUGUCACUUGCUAGAGUUUUGUCCCCAGGCUAAAAAAGAUCUUGCCUUGCAGAUCAUGAUUAGCAGUACCAUAAGAAAGUUUUACUCCGUCUUUUGACACAAGCUCCCAAAGGCAGAGAGGAAAUAAUUUGUUAACCCUCUUUAAAAAGACUUGAAGUACAGGAUGAGGUUUAAAAUAAAAUUGGAAAGAGACCGAUGCACAUCACACAGAAACGAAAUUAGGGAAAAACCCAGAAACCACAUUAACAAUGAUAGCAUUAUAGUUGUACCUCGAGAUGACAAUGGAAUCUAUUGGGAUUCUCCCAUUGUAAAGGGUUUUUCUUUUGAUUGGCAAGGGAAGGAAAAAUAGCAUCUAGCUCAUGCAAAAAUACCCCAACGCUUGCAGCUUUGCAGAUUUCGAACUCACAACCUUAAUAAAUAGUAACAGAGAAAUCGCCAAGCAGUCAAACACACUCCCAGGGAUACACAGACAAUUUCGGCGGUGGAGUUACACCAGGCGAAAACAUCAUGGAAAAUGCAUCGAAUGAAAAACCAGCACAGAUUCCAGGAGCCAGCGAAGGUCGGAAAUCAACGCCUUAUCAGCGGAUAGUGAUAGCCUGCCCUGAAAAUCACAUUAUCGUAGUGAAGAGAUUUUCGAACGGAGAAGUUAAAGUCGAAGGAGGACGACUGGUCGCUGUUGAAGACAAGAAAGGCCGCUAGAUGAGAGGUUAG